UGGAUGCAAAUUGUGUUUCUAUGUUUAAAUCUUGAUUUCCUAUUCCAGUGCGCUGAUUACGUUCUUGUCUAAUACCUUGUUGACUGGUGUUGUCUGACAGUGUGCUUUCGCUUUCAUCUUUAGAUAUUGACAUUUGAACAGUGUAAUUAUCCAUAAUUUUAUUUUUGCUGAUCUUCACUGUUCUGUAAAUUUUAUAGUUACAAAAGAUCAUAACAACAAGGGGAACACCGAAACAACAAC
RNAcentral lists this long non-coding RNA (240 nucleotides) under Mytilus galloprovincialis (Mediterranean mussel). The record is from RNAcentral. Lineage: Eukaryota; Metazoa; Mollusca; Bivalvia; Mytilida; Mytilidae.